CAAAAGGAGGGAGUUUCAAGUUUUAUUUAAAGGCAAGCCUCUGGCCUCACAAAAUCACUCUUGCUGAAGUCCUCCUUGGUUUGAGCUGAGUGCUGCUGGCUAGCUGGUGGGUGGGCAGCUGGAAGGCUGCCCAUUCUGCCUUCCCCCCACACCAGCUCUACGUGCCUGCCUGCUGCCAGCCUACCACUGGUCAGGAAAACUUUUUUCCCCUUUUGGUGGGGCAGAGGAUCUUCAGGACAAUGAGGGGGAUAAAAGAUUCUCAGACUAGCUUGAAAAAAGAAUAAAAUAAACAACAAUCCACAAGAUACAGGAAAACAGAAAAAACCCUCUAAAACAAAAGUAAAAUACCUAGUGCCAAAAAGAAACGAAACUUGGUGCCAAAUAAGACUUCCUAGGAAGAGGAUACACCUGGAUGGGUGCUACACAGAAGAGGCUCUCACACAGUUCCCAGUCCAAAGAAUUCCAAAGCUUUGGAGCCAUGACCGAGAAGGCCCUGCCCCACCAACCUUUGAUGGUGGCAAGAUAUGAAGAGGAGCCUCCCUGCCCUGAAGAUCUGAGUGGAUGGGCAGGAUAAUAUGGGAAUGUAUAAACUGGCAAGGUUGGACACUUGGUGGGGUGAAAGAACAGAGAGAGACACAGAUCCGCCAACUCUCCCACUUUAGAUGUGAGUCAACAUUAGCUGAUCUUCCUUCAUUUCCACAUGUGAAAUGUGACUCUGCUUUAAGAUACCAGAUAAGCUGCUUUGUCCUAAGCCAGACCACUGGUGCUCUAACACAGAGCCUAAGAACUUCUGCAUGCAUGCAAAGCAGAGAGUCUAACAAUGAGCUACAGCCCCAUCCCCAAAGAGAAUUGGCAAUUAAGGAUGACCUCUGAGAUUAAAGCCAAGUACUUUAAAACACACCUUGGUUCCUGUACAAAGAAGACGAACAUUGUUCAAAGUUCUGCUUUGAUUUAGCUACCUCUCUGCAAGACCUCCAUUAUUUGUCAAAUAAUGAUCUGGUUAACACAGUCAUUAGAAUCAAUGGCCACAUUCACAUGUAACGUGGGACCAAGGGUCCAAUGGACCCACGGUUCUGCCCUCCCCCCUACCCUGUGAUCUAACCUUUCUGUGUUCGGAUGUAACUGCCAGGACCCAAACUGCUCUCAUGGAGAAUGCAGAGAGGAGGGGGAACUGGCUGCACGAGUGGGGGAAUUGGCUGCUGGGCUUCCUCCUUUGCAUGAAAGACAGCUGCAGCAGCCAAUCGGAAUGGAGAGAGGAAGGAGCUUCCUUCCCUCAACUCUGGUCUCGGAGAAGGCUGCCUCCAGUUCAGCACCCCAAACUCAAAGCUCAGGUAGCAACAGCGAAACCCACAACAACCCGAGGAUUCAAAUUGGAGUUUGAGGAGAGAAAGCUCGGGUCACUUUUUGAAUGGGACAGAGGUUCAAUGCAUUUGGAUGUACAAGAAAUCCAACCUCUUCCCCAUUUAACUCCAGUUUCCCAUUACGUGUGAAUGCGGCGUAUGUUUCAUGUGGAUUACUGACAUUCGUGUGAUUGUGUGAACUUGUGCCAAGGUGGUUUAUGGCUCAAGAUGAAUCUGAGAUUUCUUAGGAUGGGUUCACACAAUCUCACUAAUGUUGGUAACCCACAUUAAACCUAGAUUAAAAUCAUUGUAUGAACCAAGCCAAGGAUAACUUUGUCAAAUCCGAGGUACCCAAACAAGCUCAGAUUUAACAUCUAAUCCUGAUUUUCAAAGACUGACAUGUGCUGAAGGGAAAGCCGUACAGUGUGAAUACCAAGUCCAGAAAAGAAAGAGACAAAACAGAAUUCAGAAACAAAAACAAAAGUCAGACGAAGGCAAACAUGGAUAUAGCUUGUUGCAUUUACACAGAAAUACACGGGAAAGCCAGGCUGCAUUUCGGAAAUCCUUCCUUAGUUGUGUGGUACCAAGUCUGAACAGUUAACAACCUCAUAUAAUGGUGCCGUUGGCAAAGAAUCGGCCAUUGUCAGGAGGGCAAUAGCUCUCAGGGAAAGCUGGCAUGAGCUCUGUGCCGGACUCCUGUGAAAGUAGAAGCCAUCUGAUAAUCAUCAAACAUCGCAACCGGCUUUGCAACAACACAGCAGUGAAUUGUUAUUACUCCUUCAGUCUUUUACUUGCCUUACCAGAUGUCUGCUUGGAAAUACACAGGGAAGUCUGGUUUUGCACCUGCCAUUAUUGUGCUUGCAGGAAAUUGAAAUGCUGUGUCCAGGAAAACAGAUCGGAGCUGGGUUUCUGGAGGCCAAGUUCACAGCGCAGAAGGUGGGUUCAUCACUCCUGCUACAUAGGACAGUAUGGGUGAACCCAGUUGGUUGGUUGGUUGGUUGGUUGGAUGGUUAUAUUUAUUAAAUAUAUCUAAGAGAAUUUAAAUUUUAUUUAAGGGUAUUUAAUGCCUUCUUUGUUAUGAACUCUGCCACCUAUUAAAAUCUUCAAGAGCGGCUUGUCUGAGGGACCCGCCAGUUCCUCUGGUGAUGACUCAAAGAAGAGCCUUCCCUGUAGUUGCCCCAGAGCUGUGGAACACACUUCCUGCUGAGAUUUGAGCUGCUCCAUCCCUGUUGGCUUUUAGGAAACAACUAAAGACGCAUCUCUUCAGCAAAGCCUUUUAGCUAUUUUAUUCAGCCAUUUUAAUGGUCUAGUUAUUUUAAUUUGAGCUUAUAUAUGUUGUAAUUGUUUUAAAAUUUAUUGGUUUGUUUUAUUGUUGUAAAUCACCUAAAGACUUCGGUAGUGGGCGGUAUACAAAUAUGUUAAACAGAUAAACAAACAAACAAAUAAAUAAAUUUAUA
Long non-coding RNA from Hemicordylus capensis (graceful crag lizard), 2797 nucleotides. RefSeq lists it as uncharacterized. The record is from RefSeq and is a predicted model, not a curated record. Lineage: Eukaryota; Metazoa; Chordata; Lepidosauria; Squamata; Cordylidae. The transcript is spliced from 3 exons.